UGCAGUUCCAGGUUCAGCCUUGUUCUGCAAUUCAACGCGUCAGGUGAUAUGAUUGAUAUCUAAAAAUAGUAUCGGUGUUCAUAUUGUGAAACUGGUCUAUUAUUCGAUACUGAUUAAUUUGAUGAAUCAAGUUAAUUUUUGUUAAAUAUAUGUUAAAUAUUUAUGCCCCCUUCCGAAGAAGAGCAGGUUUAUUGUUUUGCACAUGUCGGUCCGAAUGUCCAUAUGUCUGUCCACCAGAUGGUUUCCGGAUGAUAACCCAAGAACGAUUUUGCCUAGGAUCAUGAAACUUCAUAGGUACAUUGAUCAUGACUCGAAGAUGACCCCUAUUGAUUUUCAGGUCACUAGGUCAAGGUCACAGUGACCCUAAAUAGUAAAAUGGUUUCCCGAUGAUAACUCAAGAACGCUUAUGCCUAGGAUCAUGAAACUUCAUAGGUACAUUGAUCAUGACUCGCAGAUGACCCCUAUUGAUUUUGAGGUCACUAAAUCGAAGGUCAAGGUCACGGUGACCCAAAAUAGUAAAAUGGUUUCCGGAUGAUAACUCAAGAACUUAUGCCUAGGAUCAUGAAACUUCAUAGGUACAUAGAUAAUGACUCGCAGAUGACCCCUAUUGACUUUCAGGUCACUAGGUCAAAGGUCAAGGUCACAGUGCCAAAAAAACGUAUUCACACAAUGGCUGCCACAACAAUUGACAAUCCAUAUGGGGGGCAUGCAUGUUUUACAAACAGCCCUUGUUUGAAAUUUAUUUAUGACAUUAAAGUAAUGUAUAGGGAAUUUAGUUACCUACACAUUCUUUGAAAAGAAAUUUGAAUUGUAAAUGUAUACUUCAUUUAUUUUGUAGGAAUUCUGUACAACUGUGGAACCAUGUAUGGUACGUGACCGCACAAUGUUGGUUGGCAAAAGGAUAUUGGAAUAAGCAAAGGGACUCAACAUUACACAGUCAUUUCAACAUGUAGAGUCUUGUCAGCAAUGAUGGAGCAGUACCUGGUACUUCAGAUUUCCAGAAUCUCGUCAUGAGCUGAAGAUCAUUGCCUAUGAAUUUCAUGAAUGAUGUAGAAUGAUUGGACUGUUGAUGGAACCCACAGUGCAUGUCCUGCUUCAACAUCUGAGCAUAGGUCCUUGUUUAUCAGCAGUUUAGUUCUUCAAGCAGUCUGUGACAGUAACUUGAAAUGUUUGGACAUAUGACCUGGAUGGCCAAGUUCUGUGCAUGCAGCCCAUUUAAAUAGGAACGGCCCAGUGGCGCAUUAAAUGGACAUUUUUCGAAUGUUCUCGAGGAUUCAGCUUACCGCCUGACAAAAAAUCUUGCUUUUUGUUCAGUAUCGAGGCCAUGGACAUUUGUAUCAUUUGCAAAAGAUACUGCGAUAUAUGUGCCUUUGUUCAUGCUUUAUAGUUGAUUAACAAUUGGAAGCCAUAACCUGUUUUAUAGGAUGGUGUUAGUGGGACAAUGAAUUUUGUAAAGAUUUAAAGACUGGAAAAGAUAAUUAAAAGUCAAAAGAGUUCUGCUAUUGUUAAGCAUGCUUUAUUGAUUUGUAAUGUUAGAAAGAUAGCAUUAUUAACAGAAUAAAAUGUCCAUAAUUUGAA
Molecule: long non-coding RNA, 1578 nt
Organism: Dreissena polymorpha
Lineage: Eukaryota; Metazoa; Mollusca; Bivalvia; Myida; Dreissenidae
Exons: 2
Source: RefSeq, a predicted model, not a curated record